GCCCCCCGAGUAGGCUAUUUAAAACAAACAAACAAACUAUGAUACAUGCUACCCACCAGAAUGCCUUAAAGUAAAAAGAAAGUUCCAAGUGUUGGCAAGACUGAGCAGCACCAAGAAGUCCCCCACACUGCUGAUGGGACUGUAAGCUGGGAUGCCCACUUUCUAAAACUGCCUGGCAGGACCCACUAAGGCUACAUAUUUGCGUUCGCUACGGUUUUGCACUUCUGAGUGUAUACCCAACAGAAACAGGUCCGGGAGCUCACCGAAAGACGCAUACGGAGCCGCACUCACUAUUCAUAACCAUUCCAGACUGGGUCUUAGCAAAAUGCCCGUCAAUUAAAAAACAACAACCGCCAAGUCGAUUGUGGUAUGUUCCCAGACUGAGAUAUUGCACAGCAGCGCAAAGAAAGAAACCUGAAGUAUGUGCGGCAACAAAGGUAACACGGAGGGAAAGAAAGGACACACAGAAGAAGGCACGUCGUGUGAUUCUACUUGUAAACGGUUCCAAGUAAUCCGUGCCAAUAAAAGCCAGGAUAAGGGCAAAAGGUGGGGGCAGAGGUGAAAGAGCUUUUCUGGGGCCGGUGAUAAUCUGCUUGGGGCAGGGUUCCGGGCACGUGGGCGUGUUCCGUCUGUGAAAAUUCACUGAGCUGUAUACUCAGCAUUUGUGCCUUUUUCUGCGCGGAGGUAGGUCACGGCAGUUUCUACAAAAGCAACUGAUGAUUUCGCUGGGGAAAGAAUAUAGAACGAACCAGCCUAGUGGGGUUACCCAACUAGACAGCCUCGGUCCGAAUCCCACGGUUACCGCCUAUACGCUGCCUGACCCCAGGCUCCCGGGCACCGGUCCAGAGGCUUGACAACGAGCCACGUUUGGGACUGCCAGAAACUGCCACAAAAGAGUCCGCCCAGAGGGCCUGUGGGAAUCGCUGGGGAGGAGAGCGCGAUUCAGUCAGGAGCCGCACCAGGCGCCAUGCCAGGCCAGGCCGGAGGCCCCUGACGCUACCUGCCGGCUGGGGCAGGCCCUGGGCCCUCGCUUUUCCUCCAGCUCCCUGCCGGAACCUUCCCUCCCAUCGAGGGGCUCCUCCAAACACGGCCCGCCGGGCCGGGGCUGCCUUCACAGGCCGGAGAGGGGAAGCAACAGAACAGAGAGCAGGAGCGUCCUACCUUCCAGAAUGGAGCCCGUGCACACCGCGGCACCCUCUCUCCGCCGAGUCUGUUCUCCCCUGAACACCCCUGGCGGACGAGGAACCCCCCCCCCUUACAGGCCUCCUCCAGAGUCCCCACAAUCAGGUGUCCGUGGCAGGCUGCGACCCGCUCCCCCCCCCCCACUUUCUGAGCAGCCGGGGGCCCCAGGCAAAGCACACCUUCCCUCUCAUCGAGUCCUCUGCUCCAGUGAGCUGAGCUCACCCUCUAAAGCCUGGGCCGCAACAAAACCAACCCAAAGGACAUCCAUUUUUAUCCCCCGUUAGAAGUGAAUCUAACUCAGCAACCCCCCCCCCACCAGAGUAGCCCCACUGACUUUUAACUAGCUUCCUGCCUGUCUUCUUUGUCGCUCCUUCGCUAGCUCUUUUCCACACGCUCGCCAAAGAACAGAUGAAGAGUGUCGCGUGCCCCGAGCCACGGGUGGCAGACCGGCUAGCUCGACGCGAAACCAUAUCCUUCCAUGUCUUGGGCACACGGAUUUCCCAGCCUCCUUUGCACGCUUGUGGGGUCAUGUGGCAGCGCCAGCCAGACUAUGGAGGUGCCCAUCAAACUUGCCACGCUAUUCUCCAUGCUCUAUGGUUUUGGGUUUUUUGGUUUUUGGGUGUGUGUCUGUGUGUGUGUGUGUGUGUGUGUGUGUGUGUGUGUGUGUGUGUGUGUGUUUUGGCCUCAUCUGCCGGAAGGAGUUUGCGUUUCUGAACGCCUGCAGAACACAGGUCCCCUCCUCUUGGAAUGUGACAUGAGCAAGAAAUAAACUUAAUUUGUGUGAAGGCCUGAGACUUGGGGCGGUUGAUACAGCAGUUAGCCUGCCCUGAUGCACAUGCCAAGUUCCAGCCUCUCAAACUUCUUUCUACAAGCCUGGACAACGCCAGCCCUCUCUCUCACUGGUUCCCCAUGGAAAACAUCUUUGACCUGUCUGCGUGUAGACCACACCUGAAGUAUUUGCAUCCACGUCCCAUAUUCUGACCCUCAACCUCCAACCUUGGUUCAUGUUUCAACUUUUAAAUCGACUUCCUGCCUGUUGGUAAAAACGUGCUGGUUGGAAGUGAACUGAAACUCUCAGAGAUGGUACCCGAUUUUCUCUUAACUGAGUCUUCAGGCCAUAUGCUCUGUGUGUCCAUGGGGCACGUUGAGGGUAUCGGAAUUAAUGACAAGAAACAGGCAGCUUUGUGGUAAACAGAGGCUGACAGACCUACGGACUGAGAAACGGAGUUGAUUUAUUAUAUUUGACUUUCUGAGAUUCGGGGCUGCCAGAUUUCAAUACAUAGUGGCUCCUUCCAGCUGUAACAUUCUGUGAUGCCAUGAAGACCAGACCCGCUUGGAAAACAACCCACAAGGACACUUUCCCACAGUAUGGGCUUGUGAGACAAGCAACAUGAUCAAGGCUCACACAGUAGUUGCUAUGGCUCACAAUUUAAUAAACAGUUAUUACAAAACCAAGCAGGACCGAGUGCCUUUGACACGGGCGUGAAGGCAGAGCGGGUACCCACCCCAGCUGGUAGACACGGAAGAUUCCUUCUUUGUUAGAGAUACUACGGGAAUAGUGCUGGCCGAUGUCUUCCUACCUGUUACGGGGUCUUCGACUUUAAUCUGCAAGUAUGCAGCAGUGUCUGAACAUUCUGGUUUGGCUAGUAGAACUUGGACUUGGUUCUGAAGUACAAACAUUGCUGCGUUGACACCUCUUGGCCACCAGAGAGCUCUAUGCAUCCAGCCAGAGGCACCUACUGGAUCAGCAAGCACGCGUUCAUAAAAAGCAGGCUUGCCCUGCAGUCCCUGCGGCAUGGAGGACAGGUUCUAUUGUGAUUUCUGACACCUGCAAAACGUACUCAUCUGCCCCAUCACCAGCACCUCUGGCUCUGCCCCUCUGCCUUUUGCAACAUGGCACUUGGUGCAUUCAGGAGGCAGAGGUGGUCAACGUGGGUACCAGUUCUGCACACCGGUCGAAUGAAUUCCUAGCUGUGGGGCAAGAGAAGCCGGGGCCUUCAGACUUAACUGGUUUUAUUGGUGGCUGCCAGCACUGGGGGCCAUGUGUAACGCAGCACUCAGGACAACGUCUUGUUGUGGGCUUUCUGUGGUGGUAGCUUUCUUUUUCUGCUCAUAAAAAUAACAUAUGCCAAACAUGGAAAAGGCGGAAAACACAAACUAGUACAAAGAAGAAAAUGGCAACAAUCCAUCAUUCCACGAACCAGAGAAAAUAACUGAAUAGAUUUGGACAUAUUUCCUUCCAACCUUCUUUUUCUUGUGGGAUGCGUGAGUAUUCUUACAAGUUGAUUGGAGUUGAGGCAUCCGGAUUUUUUGGGUAAUCUUUCUAACCUGAUAUUUUCUCUUCAUUUUGGAAGUGUUUUUCCAUAUCAUUACAGGCACAAUGCAAGAUAACCUGUAGAAUUCAGAGCAGCACCGAAGAAGAUAAAACCCCCCUGUGUUUCCAGUACCCAGAGAUAAUCAUUUUCACAUUUUGGUGUUUUACCUUCCAGUGACUUUUCUAAGCAUGAUAGUUAUUUACUUUUACAAAACUGGGACCAUGUUGUACAUACUGUUUCGUAGGCUGCUUUUUCCACAUAAAUAUUCUAUCGUCAUCAUUUUCCCUACAUCAUCAAAUAUCCUCCCCAAACCGGAUUCUUAAUAUCUGGGUAAUAUUAAAAUAUCUGAGUCAAGCUUAAUUCGCUUAAUGACUUGUCUGCUGUUGGUUAUUUGUGCUGAUCCCAAUACCUUUUACUCCAAUACCAUCAUGAUGAAUAACUUUAUACUAAUUAUACCCCAUGUUCACAUCAUCAAUUAUCUACCCAGCAUAGAUUCUUAGACUUUGAAUUGCUGGGUCAAAGGGCUUGAACAUUUCUAAAAGACACAUUCCAAUGGCCACACUGUCCCCCGGAAAUGUCAUUAUCAGUUCAUAGUCUCAUCAGCACUACCUGAAAGUCUCUGUGCCAUCCACACUGCCCACACCGGGGAUUACUGAUUUUCAAAGUCCAGGUCCAUUUAAUACACACACACACACACACACACACACACACACACAGUUAUGCCUCACUGAACAUUUAAAACUUUGUGUAUUGGCCACUUUUAUCUCUUCAUUUGUGAGUUACCGAGAACCUGAUAAGUAUCUACCACUGUGCUGCACAUUAAUGACAAUUAUCACUGUCUUCCAAAGAGCCGUGCAGAUAAAUGCCAUUACCUCCCUUUUACAGACGAGGAUACUGAGCUACAGAGAGCUUAAGUGUCUUCCGGAAGACACACAGCAAGUGCAUGACAAAGUGAGGCUUCGAGUUCAGAUCCGUGAUCCCCAGUCUCAUGCUCUGCUGAGGACGCCACACUGCCUCUCUGAGAAAUGUUUCAAAAUGUGCUUCGAUCGAGGAGAGAAGAUUAAAGAAUUCCUGUGCUAUCUGUGUAAGAAAUGUCUACUUGAACCGCCGUAAAGGAGAGACGGGAUGAGUGAGAAAACCUUGCAGACCUUUUUACAGCUGUGCAAUCCAACUGCGUCCUUUACACAGAUGCGGACUCUAGGACCCCGAGGAGUUAAGUGACUUGCUAGCUAUGGGUUUGACCAAAAGAUGGGGUAAAGAGGCCAAGAAAAUACAAACAGCACAGAACCCCGACAAGCUCUCUCAUGCCACUCUGUCUUUACGCACCGGGUUUCCUGUUUGGAUUUCAUCCCUCAUCCGCCUGGUGACUCAGCUAAAAUGUCAGGUCCUCUACAAAACCUCCCAUCAUUUUUCAAGGCAGAAUUAACUGUCUCUGUGCUCUGUGAGUAUCUGUACUGACUGCAUUAUGAGCACUUUCUGCAUUGUGUGGCAGAGAUGUCUAAUUGCCCUGCACAGUUUUUAAUCCCUUCCCUUCCAUAGGGAUCGUAGGGACGGGGCUGAUGAUGGAAAGUGGCUGUCUAGACAGCGUGGCUUCCCAGCACCCCAGCCUCGCGUCUCGGUGUGGCCGUGUGACUUGUUGCGGUGAAUGGCAGGUGAGCGGGGCACGGCCUUCUACUGCCCCUGCCUUGCUUCCUACCUGCGAACUCUGUUGUUGGAGAAUAUGAUAGUUGGAACAAGACCAUCACAAGCCUAAGGACAAAAAGCCAACACGAUGGGGACGGCAGAGCAAAAGCGUGGGAGGAAGCUGGUGUGAACAACAACGUCCAGCUACUAAAUCAACCCUAGAACCGCCUACCUUCAGACAUUAGAUCUUGUGAGAUAAUUAAAUAUCGUUAUCACGGAAGCCACCAUUAAUUGGAUAUUCUGUCCUUGUGGUCUAAAGCAUCCCACUCCUGUCUUUGAUUAUUCACCUCUGUCUUUCACCAGAUUAUUAACUUUUAGGAGCAUCCUUCGCAUUUAAUUCACCUUUGUAUCCUGUUCCCCGGGGCCUAUCACAAAGCCCUACAGGGGCUCAACGAACAUUCCCCGAAUGGAAUCCGCCAAUGGUGUUCAAUUUGGGGAAAAGAUAGUGCUAUGCCUAACGAUUCCUGAUUUCCACGGGCCAAUUCCUAUAAGAACCCGUUUACUUAAGCCAAACUCUUCCAACUGUGGCUCCAUGAAGCUCCCUGCCAUUCACACAGGCGGGUACAGAAUUUGCUAGGCAAGGGUUCAUUUACUGCUUGUUAAUUAGUCAAGUGCUGAGUGUAGCACAUGACUCAUUUUUACAUUAUUCACACAACUGCGCGAUUAGCAUUUUAAAAGGUUUUCCAGGAGGCUGGCCCAAGUAAGUUUAUCUUGAAAAAUGACACAAAAGGAAAAGAAUAAUUAACAAAUCGGUUCCCAAGCUUUUAGUACGUGGCCAAGGAACUGAUUUUUUGCUGGACUUGAACCUCAGGGGUCCUGGCCCUACCCUCAGAGCAGCAGACCUGGUAGGGAAGGGAAGGGAGGUUUCGUGCUUGGCAAUGGUACGUGGUUUUCAUACUCCUCAGUUCAACAAUUAACUCAGGUACUCGUUCAACUGACUCCAGUUCCAACGAACUGGACAGUGACCAACUUGGUAGUUUGGUUUUGGAAGAAGGUAAAGAAGCACGUGAGAGGCAGCUCAUCGCCAUUAUUAAGUGAAAAACAA
Long non-coding RNA from Felis catus (domestic cat), 6225 nucleotides. RefSeq lists it as uncharacterized. NCBI's taxonomy places the organism in Eukaryota, Metazoa, Chordata, Mammalia, Carnivora, Felidae. The record is from RefSeq and is a predicted model, not a curated record. The transcript is spliced from 3 exons.